This 738-nucleotide ribosomal RNA is filed under the name uncultured Staphylococcus sp. Its description in RNAcentral is "bacterial SSU rRNA". It matches the Rfam family "Bacterial small subunit ribosomal RNA", at positions 61 to 781 of the family's 1533-position model. The record is from RNAcentral. Lineage: Bacteria; Bacillati; Bacillota; Bacilli; Caryophanales; Staphylococcaceae.
GUCGAGCGAACGGACGAGAAGCUUGCUUCUCUGAUGUUAGCGGCGGACGGGUGAGUAACACGUGGAUAACCUACCUAUAAGACUGGGAUAACUUCGGGAAACCGGAGCUAAUACCGGAUAAUAUUUUGAACCGCAUGGUUCAAAAGUGAAAGACGGUCUUGCUGUCACUUAUAGAUGGAUCCGCGCUGCAUUAGCUAGUUGGUAAGGUAACGGCUUACCAAGGCAACGAUGCAUAGCCGACCUGAGAGGGUGAUCGGCCACACUGGAACUGAGACACGGUCCAGACUCCUACGGGAGGCAGCAGUAGGGAAUCUUCCGCAAUGGGCGAAAGCCUGACGGAGCAACGCCGCGUGAGUGAUGAAGGUCUUCGGAUCGUAAAACUCUGUUAUUAGGGAAGAACAUAUGUGUAAGUAACUGUGCACAUCUUGGCGGUACCUAAUCAGAAAGCCACGGCUAACUACGUGCCAGCAGCCGCGGUAAUACGUAGGUGGCAAGCGUUAUCCGGAAUUAUUGGGCGUAAAGCGCGCGUAGGCGGUUUUUUAAGUCUGAUGUGAAAGCCCACGGCUCAACCGUGGAGGGUCAUUGGAAACUGGAAAACUUGAGUGCAGAAGAGGAAAGUGGAAUUCCAUGUGUAGCGGUGAAAUGCGCAGAGAUAUGGAGGAACACCAGUGGCGAAGGCGACUUUCUGGUCUGUAACUGACGCUGAUGUGCGAAAGCGUGGGGAUCAAACAGGAUUAG